GACGAACGCUGGCGGCGUGCUUAACACAUGCAAGUCGAACGGAAAGGCCCUGCUUUUGUGGGGUGCUCGAGUGGCGAACGGGUGAGUAACACGUGAGUAACCUGCCCUUGACUUUGGGAUAACUUCAGGAAACUGGGGCUAAUACCGGAUAGGAGCUCCUGCUGCAUGGUGGGGGUUGGAAAGUUUCGGCGGUUGGGGAUGGACUCGCGGCUUAUCAGCUUGUUGGUGGGGUAGUGACUUACCAAGGCUUUGACGGGUAGCCGGCCUGAGAGGGUGACCGGCCACAUUGGGACUGAGGUACGGCCCAGACGCCUACGGGAGGCAGCAGUGGGGAAUAUUGCACAGUGGGCGGAAGCCUGAUGCAGCAGCGCCGCGUGCGGGAUGACGGCCUUCGGGUUGUAAACCGCUUUCGCCUGUGACGAAGCGUGAGUGACGGUAAUGGGUAAAGAAGCACCGGCUAACUACGUG
Molecule: ribosomal RNA, 468 nt
Filed under: uncultured bacterium
Lineage: Bacteria
Description: partial 16S ribosomal RNA
Rfam family: Bacterial small subunit ribosomal RNA
Source: RNAcentral